Molecule: ribosomal RNA, 253 nt
Filed under: uncultured bacterium
Lineage: Bacteria
Description: partial 16S ribosomal RNA
Rfam family: Bacterial small subunit ribosomal RNA
Source: RNAcentral
UACGUAGGGAGCAAGCGUUGUCCGGAAUCAUUGGGCGUAAAGCGCGCGUAGGCGGCCCUGUAAGUCCGUUGUGAAAGUCAAAGGCUCAACCUUUGAAAGCCGAUGGAUACUGCAGGGCUAGAGUCCGGAAGAGGCGAGUGGAAUUCCUGGUGUAGCGGUGAAAUGCGCAGAUAUCAGGAGGAACACCAAUUGCGAAGGCAGCUCACUGGGACGUAACUGACGCUGAGACGCGAAAGCGUGGGGAGCAAACAGG